AACGAACGCUGGCGGCAUGCCUAACACAUGCCAGUCGAACGAGACCUUCGGGUCUAGUGGCGCACGGGUGCGUAACGCGUGGGAAUCUGCCCUUCGGUUGGGAAUAACUGAGAGAAAUUUCAGCUAAUACCUUAUAAUGUCUUCGGACCAAAGAUUUAUCGCCGAGGGAUGAGCCCGCGUAGGAUUAGGUAGUUGGUGGGGUAAUGGCCUACCAAGCCGACGAUCCUUAGCUGGUCUGAGAGGAUGAUCAGCCACACUGGGACUGAGACACGGCCCAGACUCCUACGGGAGGCAGCAGUGGGGAAUAUUGGACAAUGGGCGAAAGCAUGAUGCAGCAAUGACGCGUGAGUGAUGAAGGCCUUAGGGUUGUAAAGCUCUUUUACCCGGGAUGAUAAUGACAGUACCGGGAGAAUAAGCUCCGGCUAACUCCGUG
Molecule: ribosomal RNA, 433 nt
Filed under: uncultured bacterium
Lineage: Bacteria
Description: partial 16S ribosomal RNA
Rfam family: Bacterial small subunit ribosomal RNA
Source: RNAcentral